CGGGACGGGUGAGUAAUGUAUGGGGAUCUGCCUGAUGGCGGGGGAUAACUACUGGAAACGGUAGCUAAUACCGCAUAACGUCGCAAGACCAAAGAGGGGGACCUUCGGGCCUCUUGCCAUCGGAUGUGCCCAGAUGGGAUUAGCUAGUAGGCGGGGUAACGGCUCACCUAGGCGACGAUCCCUAGCUGGUCUGAGAGGAUGACCAGUCACACUGGAACUGAGACACGGUCCAG
Molecule: ribosomal RNA, 233 nt
Filed under: uncultured bacterium
Lineage: Bacteria
Description: partial 16S ribosomal RNA
Rfam family: Bacterial small subunit ribosomal RNA
Source: RNAcentral